This is a long non-coding RNA of Hippocampus zosterae (dwarf seahorse), 355 nucleotides long. RefSeq lists it as uncharacterized. The transcript has 3 exons. The record is from RefSeq and is a predicted model, not a curated record. NCBI's taxonomy places the organism in Eukaryota, Metazoa, Chordata, Actinopteri, Syngnathiformes, Syngnathidae.
GCCAGGUAGUCCAGUGGUUAGCACGUCGGCUUCACAGUGCAGAGGUACCGGGUUCGAUUCCAGCUCCGGCCUCCCUGUGUGGAGUUUGCAUGUUCUCCCCGGGCCUGCGUGGGUUUUCUCCGGGUGCUCCGGUUUCCUCCCACAUUCCAAAAAACAUGCGUGGCAGGCUGAUUGAACACUCUAAAUUGUCCCUAGGUGUGAGUGUGAGCGUGGAUGGUUGUUCGUCUCUGUGUGCCCUGUGAUUGGCUGGCAACCGAUUCAGGGUGUCCCCCGCCUGCUGCCCGAAGACAGCUGGGAUAGGCUCCAGCACCCCCCGCGACCCUAGUGAGGAUCGAGCGGCUCGGAAGAUGAAUGA